RNAcentral lists this ribosomal RNA (380 nucleotides) under uncultured eukaryote. RNAcentral describes it as "SSU rRNA". It matches the Rfam family "Eukaryotic small subunit ribosomal RNA", at positions 587 to 972 of the family's 1831-position model. The record is from RNAcentral.
AGCUCCAAUAGCGUAUAUUAAAGUUGUUGCGGUUAAAAAGUUCGUAGUUGGAUUUCUGUGAAGGAUAACCGGUCCGCACUAUGUGCGUGUAUCUGUUUGUCCUUUGCAUCCUCGCGGAAUACGUCACUGUGCUUCACUGCAUGGGGCGGGCUUCGCGACUUUUACUUUGAGGAAAUUAGAGUGUUCACGGCAGGCUCACGCCAUGAAUAUAUUAGCAUGGAAUAAUAAUAUAGGACCUUGGUUCUAUUUUGUUGGUUUCUAGGGCUAAGGUAAUGAUUAAUAGGGACAAUUGGGGGCAUUCGUAUUAACGCGUCAGAGGUGGAAUUCUUGGAUUGCGUUACGACGAACUACUGCGAAAGCAUUUGCCAAGGAUGUUUUCA